UACGAAGGGGGCUAGCGUUGUUCGGAAUUACUGGGCGUAAAGCGUGCGCAGGCGGCUUCUCAAGUCAGGGGUGAAAGCCCAGAGCUCAACUCUGGAACUGCCUUUGAGACUGAGAGGCUUGAGUACGGGAGAGGUGAGUGGAAUUCCCAGUGUAGAGGUGAAAUUCGUAGAUAUUCGCAAGAACACCAGUGGCGAAGGCGGCUCACUGGCCCGAUACUGACGCUGAGGCACGAAAGCGUGGGGAGCAAACAGG
RNAcentral lists this ribosomal RNA (253 nucleotides) under uncultured bacterium. RNAcentral describes it as "partial 16S ribosomal RNA". It matches the Rfam family "Bacterial small subunit ribosomal RNA", at positions 524 to 776 of the family's 1533-position model. The record is from RNAcentral.